CUGGGGCCAGGCUGCAGGCAGGGAAGAAGCACAAACAGAGAGGCAGUCAGAGAAAUGGUUACAGAAGACAUACAGAGGAGAUUUCUUCUGCACAAAUUUCAUCUUGAAGAUAAUUAUAGCAGCCCCCAAUUCUAUAGGACAGAGAUUCCAUUUCCAGAUAGUAGCUUCUACGUGUGUCACAGAUAAAGCAGAUAAUGGAUGCUGCAAGAAUGGCUCUGACGGUAGUCUACGCUUGCCUGCCUUCGGUCUGGUGUUUCCUCGCUCCCCCCAUCUGCAGGAGAACCAAAACAGCACAAGUAUAUCAGCACAGCUGAGAGAUCAGGCAGAUGCAACUCUUCUUCCAGUACCAUCACUGUCUCUUAUGGUACAGCAGGCAAGCUGAGUUACUCUUGGCUGCAAGAGAGAGAAGCAGCCCAAAAACAAAGCUUUUGUUGUUCUUUGUAGUCACUCAACUGAAUGCAUACAGUUCUUGGAAAUGUGCAGGCCAAAAAAGGGAAUCUGCUUGAAAUUUCUCUUGAUGCUACCAGAAACAUCUGCACACACGCACAAUACCACAUCAUUGUUGAGGGUGGUUGUUGAUUUUUUUGCAAAGCAGAUUAAAUUGAAUGUCCCAAAC
This is a long non-coding RNA of Hemicordylus capensis (graceful crag lizard), 616 nucleotides long. RefSeq lists it as uncharacterized. The transcript has 3 exons. The record is from RefSeq and is a predicted model, not a curated record. Lineage: Eukaryota; Metazoa; Chordata; Lepidosauria; Squamata; Cordylidae.